RNAcentral lists this ribosomal RNA (747 nucleotides) under cyanobacterium enrichment culture clone 3_10_3.4.4_G12-T7. Its description in RNAcentral is "bacterial SSU rRNA". It matches the Rfam family "Bacterial small subunit ribosomal RNA", at positions 8 to 797 of the family's 1533-position model. The record is from RNAcentral. Lineage: Bacteria; Bacillati; Cyanobacteriota.
AGAGUUUGAUCCUGGCUCAGGAUGAACGCUGGCGGUAUGCUUAACACAUGCAAGUCGAACGGAAGUCUUCGGACUUUAGUGGCGGACGGGUAAGUAACGCGUGAGAAUCUGCCUAUAGGUUGGGGACAACAGAUGGAAACGUCUGCUAAUACCCGAUGUGCCGAGAGGUAAAAGCUUUAGUGCCUGUAGAUGAGCUCGCGUCCGAUUAGCUAGUUGGUCAGGUAAAAGCUGACCAAGGCGACGAUCGGUAGCUGGUCUGAGAGGAUGAUCAGCCACACUGGGACUGAGACACGGCCCAGACUCCUACGGGAGGCAGCAGUGGGGAAUUUUCCGCAAUGGGCGAAAGCCUGACGGAGCAAUACCGCGUGCGGGACGAAGGCUUUUGGGUCGUAAACCGCUUUUGUUAGGGAAGAACACAAUGACGGUACCUAACGAAUCAGCAUCGGCUAACUCCGUGCCAGCAGCCGCGGUAAUACGGAGGAUGCAAGCGUUAUCCGGAAUUAUUGGGCGUAAAGCGUCCGCAGGUGGUUUAUCAAGUCUGCUGUCAAAGCGUGGGGCUUAACCCCAUAAGGGCAGUGGAAACUGAGAGACUAGAGUACGGUAGGGGUAGCGGGAAUUCCCAGUGUAGCGGUGAAAUGCGUAGAUAUUGGGAAGAACACCAGCGGCGAAGGCGCGCUACUGGGCCGAAACUGACACUCAUGGACGAAAGCUAGGGGAGCGAAAGGGAUUAGAUACCCCUGUAGUCCU